GCAAACUUGGUCAUUUAGAGGAAGUAAAAGUCGUAACAAGGUUUCCGUAGGUGAACCUGCGGAAGGAUCAUUACAGAGUACCGGCGCCUCCGGGCGCCUACUCCCACCCUUUGUGUACCGAAACCGUUGCUUUGGCGGGCCGGGCGCCCAGCGCCGCCGGCCCCGGUUGGACAGCGCCCGCCAGAGAACUUUCAAAUCCUGCUCACUGUGAAGUCCGAGUAACAGAAAAAUGAAUCAAAACUUUCAACAACGGAUCUCUUGGUUCUGGCAUCGAUGAAGAACGCAGC
This 287-nucleotide unclassified non-coding RNA is filed under the name uncultured fungus. RNAcentral describes it as "partial contains small subunit ribosomal RNA, internal transcribed spacer 1, and 5.8S ribosomal RNA". The stretch from base 1 to 73 matches the Rfam family "Eukaryotic small subunit ribosomal RNA", at positions 1759 to 1831 of the family's 1831-position model. Lineage: Eukaryota; Fungi. The record is from RNAcentral.